UACAGAGGGUGCGAGCGUUAAUCGGAAUUACUGGGCGUAAAGCGCGCGUAGGCGGCUUUGCAAGCCGGAUGUGAAAUCCCCGGGCUUAACCUGGGAACUGCAUUCGGGACUGCAUUGCUAGAGUAUGGGAGAGGGAAGUGGAAUUUCAGGUGUAGCGGUGAAAUGCGUAGAUAUCGGGAGGAACACCGGUGGCGAAGGCGGUUCUCUGGGCCUGUACUGACGCUGAGGAGCGAAAGCGUGGGGAGCGAACAGG
This 253-nucleotide ribosomal RNA is filed under the name uncultured bacterium. RNAcentral's name for it is "partial 16S ribosomal RNA". It matches the Rfam family "Bacterial small subunit ribosomal RNA", at positions 524 to 776 of the family's 1533-position model. The record is from RNAcentral.